GAUGAACGCUGGCGGCGUGCCUAAUACAUGCAAGUCGAGCGAACGGAUGAGAAGCUUGCUUCUCUGAUGUUAGCGGCGGACGGGUGAGUAACACGUGGAUAACCUACCUAUAAGACUGGGAUAACUUCGGGAAACCGGAGCUAAUACCGGAUAAUAUUUUGAACCGCAUGAUUCAAAAGUGAAAGACGGUCUUGCUUUCACUUAUAGAUGGAUCCGCGCUGCAUUAGCUAGUUGGUAAGGUAACGGCUUACCAAGGCAACGAUGCAUAGCCGACCUGAGAGGGUGAUCGGCCACACUGGAACUGAGACACGGUCCAGACUCCUACGGGAGGCAGCAGUAGGGAAUCUUCCGCAAUGGGCGAAAGCCUGACGGAGCAACGCCGCGUGAGUGAUGAAGGUCUUCGGAUCGUAAAACUCUGUUAUUAGGGAAGAACAUAUGUGUAAGUAACUGUGCACAUCUUGACGGUACCUAAUCAGAAAGCCACGGCUAACUACGUG
RNAcentral lists this ribosomal RNA (497 nucleotides) under uncultured bacterium. RNAcentral describes it as "partial 16S ribosomal RNA". It matches the Rfam family "Bacterial small subunit ribosomal RNA", at positions 28 to 507 of the family's 1533-position model. The record is from RNAcentral.